Molecule: ribosomal RNA, 496 nt
Filed under: uncultured bacterium
Lineage: Bacteria
Description: partial 16S ribosomal RNA
Rfam family: Bacterial small subunit ribosomal RNA
Source: RNAcentral
GAUGAACGCUGGCGGCGUGCCUAAUACAUGCAAGUCGAGCGAACAGACGAGGAGCUUGCUCCUUUGACGUUAGCGGCGGACGGGUGAGUAACACGUGGGUACCUACCUAUAAGACUGGGAUAACUUCGGGAAACCGGAGCUAAUACCGGAUAAUAUUUCGAACCGCAUGGUUCGAUAGUGAAAGAUGGCUUUGCUAUCACUUAUAGAUGGACCUGCGCCGUAUUAGCUAGUUGGUAAGGUAACGGCUUACCAAGGCAACGAUACGUAGCCGACCUGAGAGGGUGAUCGGCCACACUGGAACUGAGACACGGUCCAGACUCCUACGGGAGGCAGCAGUAGGGAAUCUUCCGCAAUGGGCGAAAGCCUGGCGGAGCAACGCCGCGUGAGUGAUGAAGGUCUUCGGAUCGUAAAACUCUGUUAUUAGGGAAGAACAAACGUGUAAGUAACUGUGCACGUCUUGACGGUACCUAAUCAGAAAGCCACGGCUAACUACGUG